Long non-coding RNA from Arabidopsis lyrata subsp. lyrata, 2794 nucleotides. RefSeq lists it as uncharacterized. The record is from RefSeq and is a predicted model, not a curated record. The transcript has 2 exons. NCBI's taxonomy places the organism in Eukaryota, Viridiplantae, Streptophyta, Magnoliopsida, Brassicales, Brassicaceae.
CCAUGACUAAUCCUACUAAGAAGAAGAUCUACGGUCUUGAAAGAUCUAUUUCAUUAUGCUCUGCCGCUCAAAGGAGACAGACACCUUUGACUGUGUCUGCUACUUCUAGAAAACAGACAGUGCUAAGGGGAAAUGUGACAGAGAGAAAAGACUAAAAUCAACACUGCUGCUUCUGCAAUUAAAGCAAGGAAACUGUUCCGGGAAGCAAACGAUUCGGUGAAAUGUAAAAAUAGCAUGUUGGAAAAUUUAAUUAAUACGUCAUGAAGUAGAACAAUCUAGAUUCUUCCUUUACAAAGAGGUAAAACAGAGGGUAUAGAAACAGAGACUUAGAGACCAAGAGUCUUAAUUAAGGAGAAUUAAUAAAAAGCAUGUUCGAGAAUUUAAUUAAGACAUGUCAUGAUACGGAAGAAGCCAUGUUCCUUCUUCCUUUAAGAUGUAAAGGCUUUUGGUUUAAGCUUAGCCUUAAAAGAGAGGAAAAACAGAGUAUAUGGAAACGGAGACUAAACCAAAAUUGAAACUUUGUUCCUUGGUUUCGAAAUAAAAGCUAAUUAUAUGAAAAUAUAAGCAUACCCGUCUUUGAAUUAGGAAGGUGCAAUAACGAAAUCGAUUUGAUAUUUCUGAUUGAUGAGAGAAAGGAUAAAAAUUGGAAAGUAUUUAUUUGAAAAAACUUUUUUUUCUGUGGCAUGGUGUUUAAGGAGAAAAUAAGGAAACAGAGAUUUCAUGAAGAAAUAAAAUAGAGCAAGUAACGAACAAGAAGGGACGAGGAAAAUUAAAGCGACGACAUUAGUGAGUUCAAACUAUAAACAAUUAUAUUACUUAAAAUUUAUAUAUACAAUUAAACUAAUUUAUGUAUAUUAUAAUAAUAUAUUUUGAGAGACUUUGAGAGAACCUCUCACUGCACAUGCUCUCAAUACUGCUUUCUAUAGGCACGAGCUGUCGUUCAAGAGGUUCACUUUCUUCCAUUCAAUCAUACUGAUAAGAGAAAAUCUCUAACUAAGAGCAUGAUUAUCCAUAGUGUCUUAGAAAUAAAUCUUAGGAAUAUUUAAGUAAUAUAUUUGUAAAAUAUGGUUCUUAACUAUUUUUUUGUUGCUUACCUAAGAAACCCUCUUAGCAAUAAUGGUUUAGUUGGGAUUUAAUUUUAAUCAUUUAUUGCUAAGAUCCAACUUAAGAAAACUUUAAGAACCUGCCUUUAAUCAUGGUCUAAGAUGCAUAGUGCACAUGAGCAAGUAAAUUGUUGAUUGCCAUUUAACUUCUAUUUCUAAAAAUAUUGGUGUAGAUUCAUAUCAGCUAAUAUUGCCGAUGAUUCAAAUCCAAAAUCUUGAACACAAUAAAGCAAAGAUUAAGUGGAGAGUUAAUACUGUGAUAGACAAUUUUGCUGAAUUAUUAUAUAUCUUAGUUUUUUUAGGUUUUCAUUGGUAGCCUUAAUGAAAACUCGGGCAAUUAUUUUGAGACGGUCCUAAUAAAAAAAGUCUAAUUGUUCCAUUAAAGGAGAAUGAUUUUUUUAUUUGAGUCAUUAACAGUAUUUACUUUGUGUAAUAGUUGUGAGAUAUGAUUUAGUCGGUUUACCCGGUACAAUCAGACUUUCGACAUAGCAAACGAAACCUCUUAACAAUAGUUGUUGAGUUAGCUGCAAAUUCAUCAAAAUAUUUCAUAGAGAACCAACAUUUGGACUUGAUAUACGAGCUGCUACACUAGAAGAGCAAUGGUUUGAACAAUUUGCGAGAUAAUGAAUGUUGUUCUUUAGGAUAAAGUGUGUGUCUUUUUUUGUAAAGGGAUUUGGAGGUACUUGAAAAUAAUUUUUUUGGUUCUCUGGUCAAUUUUGUACGCCACUCUUUGAUCUAGAGGUAUAUAUGAUAGUCCUUAGCAUUGCAUCUAGCUGUAUUGCUUCAUUGUUGUUGUUGUUACUCGGGGACUAACAGUACAUUCGAGGUUUGGUAUACCACUUAACCCUAAUCAAUCCACUACUUACUUGAUAAAGACAUAUUCUCAUCAUGUAUAUUUGAUUAGAUUAGCUAGGCUCGUAAUAUGGGACAAAACCCCGAAGAUGAGCAAGAAAUGCUUUGAAAGAUUUUAUCGUAGCAUGCGUGUCAUAUCUGCACCCUUCGGUGCUCCCUUGUAAAAUCAGAGUAUAUGAGUAUAGAUACUUAAUAGGUUUAAGUGUUCUUCGAUCUUGGACGAUACAUUCCAACUUAUACUGGUCGAUACAGAGGUUAUACAAAUUUUUGGUUUUUCUAAUAAAAUAAAUUGUUUGGUGAAAGAUUGCUAUACCUUUAACAAUUUUAUUUUGUUUGUUUGGGUCACGACAUACAUACUAUAAUUGAUAAAGAGUAUUAUCGUCGCCGUGGAUUCAGGUUUUUCCAAGGACGAUGGAUACAUGGCCGGCCCUAUAGACAUCAACAAGAAACUUUUGCUGUAGCCCAAAUUUUGUUUCUGAAAUUCUUCAACAAAAAUUAUUUACGAAACGGCCCUAAUUUUAUUUAUUUUACGAUAAUUGGCCCUAAAUUUUAAAACCUUUCAAAAUAACCAAAAACUUUUUUUUGAGUAUUUGGCCCUUCAAAUCUCAGGGCAGGCCCUGGAUGGAUAACACUUAGAGAUUUUGAUUCAUGUUAUCGGUUCGCUUAGUCCUACUUUUUAUGAUUUUAAAAUUCAUUGGAAUUUAUCAAUCUUUGUUUCACAUAUACCUUCCUUGGGUGCGAAUGAUUACUGCGCAUUCGCAUCUUUUAGGAAAAUUGAUACUUAGUUUUGAGUAUGUUUAUUUCCCUGGUCCCAUAAUAUCUUUUGUUUGGAUAUUUUA